This 497-nucleotide ribosomal RNA is filed under the name uncultured bacterium. RNAcentral's name for it is "partial 16S ribosomal RNA". It matches the Rfam family "Bacterial small subunit ribosomal RNA", at positions 28 to 507 of the family's 1533-position model. The record is from RNAcentral.
GAUGAACGCUGGCGGCGUGCCUAAUACAUGCAAGUCGAGCGAACAGACGAGGAGCUUGCUCCUCUGACGUUAGCGGCGGACGGGUGAGUAACACGUGUAUAACCUACCUAUAAGACUGGGAUAACUUCGGGAAACCGGAGCUAAUACCGGAUAAUAUAUUGAACCGCAUGGUUCAAUAGUGAAAGACGGUUUUGCGGUCACUUAUAGAUGGAUCCGCGCCGCAUUAGCUAGUUGGUAAGGUAACGGCUUACCAAGGCGACGAUGCGUAGCCGACCUGAGAGGGUGAUCGGCCACACUGGAAGUGGGACACGGUCCAGACUACUACGGGAGGCAGCAGUAGGGUAUCUUACGCAGUGGGCGAAAGCCUGACGGAGCAACGGCGCGUGAGUGAUGAAGGUCCUCGGAUCGUAAAACUCUGUUAUUAGGGAAGAACAAAUGUGUAAGUAACUAUGCACGUAUUGACGGUACCUAAUCAGAAAGCAACGGCUAACUACGUG